UUUGCGGUUGUGACCUGUGACGUCACUUCCUCUUUCCGUUCAUGGCUAUUACGGAAGAAGGUGUAUAAAGGCUAAAACAUGAGAAAGAACAGACGUCGGUGUUCCUGGAGCUGUGAUUCGAAUCAGAUCUGCUGGUGAAGUGUGGAGUUUUCUGGCUGCAGCUUUUCCACGCAUCGUCUGGAAUUCCCUCUGAGCUUUGAUCACCAGCGGCACCCAGCAGGAAGCGUCACUGCUGACGUUUUACUGGAGUGACACCUGGAGAUGGACAGGCUGGCUGGACUGAUGCUGCCUUCCAGUUACCUGGGAAAUAUAGGAACUCAGAGCUCGGAUUUGACGUCAAA
Poecilia latipinna (sailfin molly) is the source of this 341-nucleotide long non-coding RNA. RefSeq lists it as uncharacterized. NCBI's taxonomy places the organism in Eukaryota, Metazoa, Chordata, Actinopteri, Cyprinodontiformes, Poeciliidae. The transcript is spliced from 3 exons. The record is from RefSeq and is a predicted model, not a curated record.